GCCCAGCCAUUUUAGUGUCUAGUGAGAAUCCCGAACGACGUCGUUUUUGAGUGAGUUUCCGUUUGCUGCAUCUCUGUUUCUCUCCAUUUUUACGUUUCUGUUCUUCCUCUGCAAGUCAGCGAGCAGUACCUCUCAUUCCUCCAUUUUUUUGACUGUUUCUGUUUUGGCCGUGAGGUUUGGGUUGCGUUUGUGUGUCUGGGUGUUGUGCGUGGUGAGUCUUCAGGUAAAUCUCUUUCUUUGCUCUCAGGUCGAUGCCUUCCCCGCACUUUAUUUCUCUGGUUUUAUGCAAUUCCGACUUUGAAUUGUUC
Molecule: long non-coding RNA, 308 nt
Organism: Juglans microcarpa x Juglans regia
Lineage: Eukaryota; Viridiplantae; Streptophyta; Magnoliopsida; Fagales; Juglandaceae
Exons: 3
Source: RefSeq, a predicted model, not a curated record